Molecule: ribosomal RNA, 2022 nt
Filed under: Triticum aestivum (bread wheat)
Lineage: Eukaryota; Viridiplantae; Streptophyta; Magnoliopsida; Poales; Poaceae
Description: partial small subunit ribosomal RNA
Source: RNAcentral
UGCUCUCUCUCUUAGGAUCGGUCGGCAUCCCGGCCUGCGCGGUGGAUUAGACUCAACUAACCAGAACCGACGAUUGUGCGCGCGUUGUUUGGUUUAACUGCCGACUAUAAUUCUUCUGUGCAUGCCGUCCAGCCGUUCUUAGCGUUGGUUAGCCGGUACCUGCCUGCCGCGACGAUGCAGGCUGCGCCUGUCGACUUACUUAGUAGUGAAGUAGUCAUCACCCACGUUCGUGGUAGGUACCGCCGGUACAGCAGGAAGGCGGAGGAAGGGGAGCGCGACGACGAGGAGGACGAGCGGUACCGCGUGCGCGCCGACGUCGGGUGGUAGGCCGACGGCAGCCUGCUGCCGAGGCAGCCCUGGUCCACCCGGCAGGAGCAGCGGCCGAGGUUGCCGAUGAUGUUGAUGGCGGUGGUCCGCCUAUAAACGGUGCGGAUGGUCUAUAACUUCUUCCCACCGGAGUUCCUACUCUUGUAGUAGCAGAAGUACAUGCUACUGUAACGCGUGUUGGACCUCUUGGGUUCCGGCCCGCAGUAGUAGUUGGUGGGGGUCCCACCUCUACAGAUACGACCCCAGGGAUUCCUGAUGUGACCCUUCCUCCAAUUACAGUUCUUGAACAAACGACAGGAAGAGCCAUUAUUUUGGCGACACUCACCACCCUCACCGUUUCAGCACCUGUCACCGGGAUUACUAGUGUAAAAACACAAAAUGUCACUGGUACCCCCAGGACCCCAGUAACCCUACGGAUGGAUAGGUAUGCAAAUGCCACUGCUAGAACAUCUACAGGACUUCUUUUUCGUGCGACGACCUUGGAUGUUUUCGGACCAUAAAAUAGAACUUCGGACGCUUCGACCCUCGCAGAAACUCCCCGAAGACGGUUUACUGUAGCCACAGAUACGCUGGUGGCGCAGCUUGCGCCUCCUCUCGUCAACCCCUUGCAUAACGGGACCGCUCAUGGGAUCGGGAGGCAGGCUUAUACUGUGGACGAACCCGCUGGACAUGUCGUAAAGAACCUACCUCCUGUCACUACAUGUGUUGGACUCUUGACUUAGAGAGUUCGUCGUCAUACUGGACCAGUUCUUCUCUUGCCGUCGAGUCCUGAGUAUGUCGAUACCAAGGGUACACUACGUUAUGCCAAGAAACCUAGACUUACUAGUUGUAGAGAAGAAUAUGUAACCCAGUUUAGGACGAUUACUGUUGUGAUGUAAACAACUUCUAUUGAGUGACGGCAGGAAGAGUUCUCGACAAUUAGUCUCCCUACGACUAGAACAAAUAAAGACCGUGUUCAUGGUCUUUAACCGACUCUCGAGGGGACUCUUUUUGCUACGAGCCUUCGUUAACGAGCUCUACUACCCAGUAUCUAGAGUAUAACUGUUGUCGCAGCUCGACUAACCUUUGGAAGACAAACCAAAACGCCUACCAGGUUACCAGGACUUCUGGUAAGCGGGUCGACCGCUCGGAGAACGACUACUGACCUCAACAGAGUUCAGAUGCCACGCACGAAAACUUAGUGUUACACCGAGCAACCGCGUCAUACCUUACUUCGUGUACGCCAGGAAACGUUUGUAGACGUUACGGCCGUAGGAAGGACUUCGCUACCACUUCCACCGGCGAGUCCGCACGUGGUCGUAGGGUUGGUUGGGUACCUCACGGUGUGUGUCUCCAAAAUCACGAAUUUGGUAUCAACUUCGUUGAGUCGGUGAUAAAGUCGAUAACAUGGUAUAUGGUUUCAGUGAAGGAUAAGAGUGUCUCAAUCAUGUAUCACGAACUUGCUUGGAAUCUACAUCUACUUAUUCUUAAUACGGGAAUAAAGACGAUAAGGUGGUGUGGUUACAUAGGAGAAACACGGGUUGAAUAUUACAUGUAUAUGUUUUCAUCUUUCCACUCAACUACACUAACAACAUGUAUGAGUACUAUCAAACACUAGUCUACACAUCGAGCGUUGAGGUAUAUACUUCUUACGUUCGCGAGGAUAAAGAUGCAUCUGACACAUUAGAGUAUGGUACUCGACAAUAAAAGGUUAGG